AGAACGAACGCUGGCGGCAGGCUUAACACAUGCAAGUCGAGCGCCCCGCAAGGGGAGCGGCAGACGGGUGAGUAACGCGUGGGAACAUACCCUCCGGUUCGGAAUAACUCAGGGAAACUUGAGCUAAUACCGGAUACGGUCGAGAGGCGAAAGAUUUAUCGCCGGAGGAUUGGCCCGCGUCCGAUUAGCUAGUUGGUGUGGUAAUGGCGCACCAAGGCGACGAUCGGUAGCUGGUCUGAGAGGAUGAUCAGCCACAUUGGGACUGAGACACGGCCCAAACUCCUACGGGAGGCAGCAGUGGGGAAUAUUGGACAAUGGGCGAAAGCCUGAUCCAGCCAUGCCGCGUGAGUGAUGAAGGCCUUAGGGUUGUAAAGCUCUUUCGCCCACGACGAUAAUGACGGUAGUGGGAGAAGAAGCCCCGGCUAACUUCGUGCCAGCAGCCGC
RNAcentral lists this ribosomal RNA (444 nucleotides) under uncultured bacterium. RNAcentral's name for it is "SSU rRNA". It matches the Rfam family "Bacterial small subunit ribosomal RNA", at positions 26 to 518 of the family's 1533-position model. The record is from RNAcentral.